UUAAGUUAUUAAGGGCGCACGGUGGAUGCCUUGGCACUAGAAGCCGAUGAAGGACGUUACUAACGACGAUAUGCUUUGGGGAGCUGUAAGUAAGCUUUGAUCCAGAGAUUUCCGAAUGGGGAAACCCAGCAUGAGUUAUGUCAUGUUAUCGAUAUGUGAAUACAUAGCAUAUCAGAAGGCACACCCGGAGAACUGAAACAUCUUAGUACCCGGAGGAAGAGAAAGAAAAUUCGAUUCCCUUAGUAGCGGCGAGCGAAAUGGGAAGAGCCCAAACCAACAAGCUUGCUUGUUGGGGUUGUAGGACACUCUAUACGGAGUUACAAAGGACGACAUUAGACGAAUCAUCUGGAAAGAUGAAUCAAAGAAGGUAAUAAUCCUGUAGUCGAAAAUGUUGUCUCUCUUGAGUGGAUCCUGAGUACGACGGAGCACGUGAAAUUCCGUCGGAAUCUGGGAGGACCAUCUCCUAAGGCUAAAUACUCUCUAGUGACCGAUAGUGAACCAGUACCGUGAGGGAAAGGUGAAAAGCACCCCGGAAGGGGAGUGAAAUAGAACCUGAAACCGUGUGCUUACAAGUAGUCAGAGCCCGUUAAUGGGUGAUGGCGUGCCUUUUGUAGAAUGAACCGGCGAGUUACGAUUUGAUGCAAGGUUAAGCAGUAAAUGUGGAGCCGUAGCGGAAGCGAGUCUGAAUAGGGCGUUUAGUAUUUGGUCGUAGACCCGAAACCAGGUGAUCUACCCUUGGUCAGGUUGAAGUUCAGGUAACACUGAAUGGAGGACCGAACCGACUUACGUUGAAAAGUGAGCGGAUGAACUGAGGGUAGCGGAGAAAUUCCAAUCGAACCUGGAGAUAGCUGGUUCUCUCCGAAAUAGCUUUAGGGCUAGCCUCAAGUGAUGAUUAUUGGAGGUAGAGCACUGUUUGGACGAGGGGCCCCUCUCGGGUUACCGAAUUCAGACAAACUCCGAAUGCCAAUUAAUUUAACUUGGGAGUCAGAACAUGGGUGAUAAGGUCCGUGUUCGAAAGGGAAACAGCCCAGACCACCAGCUAAGGUCCCAAAAUAUAUGUUAAGUGGAAAAGGAUGUGGCGUUGCCCAGACAACUAGGAUGUUGGCUUAGAAGCAGCCAUCAUUUAAAGAGUGCGUAAUAGCUCACUAGUCGAGUGACACUGCGCCGAAAAUGUACCGGGGCUAAACAUAUUACCGAAGCUGUGGAUUGUCCUUUGGACAAUGGUAGGAGAGCGUUCUAAGGGCGUUGAAGCAUGAUCGUAAGGACAUGUGGAGCGCUUAGAAGUGAGAAUGCCGGUGUGAGUAGCGAAAGACGGGUGAGAAUCCCGUCCACCGAUUGACUAAGGUUUCCAGAGGAAGGCUCGUCCGCUCUGGGUUAGUCGGGUCCUAAGCUGAGGCCGACAGGCGUAGGCGAUGGAUAACAGGUUGAUAUUCCUGUACCACCUAUAAUCGUUUUAAUCGAUGGGGGGACGCAGUAGGAUAGGCGAAGCGUGCGAUUGGAUUGCACGUCUAAGCAGUAAGGCUGAGUAUUAGGCAAAUCCGGUACUCGUUAAGGCUGAGCUGUGAUGGGGAGAAGACAUUGUGUCUUCGAGUCGUUGAUUUCACACUGCCGAGAAAAGCCUCUAGAUAGAAAAUAGGUGCCCGUACCGCAAACCGACACAGGUAGUCAAGAUGAGAAUUCUAAGGUGAGCGAGCGAACUCUCGUUAAGGAACUCGGCAAAAUGACCCCGUAACUUCGGGAGAAGGGGUGCUCUUUAGGGUUAACGCCCAGAAGAGCCGCAGUGAAUAGGCCCAAGCGACUGUUUAUCAAAAACACAGGUCUCUGCUAAACCGUAAGGUGAUGUAUAGGGGCUGACGCCUGCCCGGUGCUGGAAGGUUAAGAGGAGUGGUUAGCUUCUGCGAAGCUACGAAUCGAAGCCCCAGUAAACGGCGGCCGUAACUAUAACGGUCCUAAGGUAGCGAAAUUCCUUGUCGGGUAAGUUCCGACCCGCACGAAAGGCGUAACGAUUUGGGCACUGUCUCAACGAGAGACUCGGUGAAAUCAUAGUACCUGUGAAGAUGCAGGUUACCCGCGACAGGACGGAAAGACCCCGUGGAGCUUUACUGUAGCCUGAUAUUGAAAUUCGGCACAGCUUGUACAGGAUAGGUAGGAGCCUUUGAAACGUGAGCGCUAGCUUACGUGGAGGCGCUGGUGGGAUACUACCCUAGCUGUGUUGGCUUUCUAACCCGCACCACUUAUCGUGGUGGGAGACAGUGUCAGGCGGGCAGUUUGACUGGGGCGGUCGCCUCCUAAAAGGUAACGGAGGCGCUCAAAGGUUCCCUCAGAAUGGUUGGAAAUCAUUCAUAGAGUGUAAAGGCAUAAGGGAGCUUGACUGCGAGACCUACAAGUCGAGCAGGGUCGAAAGACGGACUUAGUGAUCCGGUGGUUCCGCAUGGAAGGGCCAUCGCUCAACGGAUAAAAGCUACCCCGGGGAUAACAGGCUUAUCUCCCCCAAGAGUUCACAUCGACGGGGAGGUUUGGCACCUCGAUGUCGGCUCAUCGCAUCCUGGGGCUGUAGUCGGUCCCAAGGGUUGGGCUGUUCGCCCAUUAAAGCGGUACGCGAGCUGGGUUCAGAACGUCGUGAGACAGUUCGGUCCCUAUCCGUCGUGGGCGUAGGAAAUUUGAGAGGAGCUGUCCUUAGUACGAGAGGACCGGGAUGGACAUACCUCUGGUGUACCAGUUGUCGUGCCAACGGCAUAGCUGGGUAGCUAUGUGUGGACGGGAUAAGUGCUGAAAGCAUCUAAGCAUGAAGCCCCCCUCAAGAUGAGAUUUCCCAACUUCGGUUAUAAGAUCCCUCAAAGAUGAUGAGGUUAAUAGGUUCGAGGUGGAAGCAUGGUGACAUGUGGAGCUGACGAAUACUAAUCGAUCGAAGACUUAAUCAA
Molecule: ribosomal RNA, 2921 nt
Filed under: Staphylococcus aureus
Lineage: Bacteria; Bacillati; Bacillota; Bacilli; Caryophanales; Staphylococcaceae
Also listed under: 1 other name
Description: bacterial LSU rRNA
Rfam family: Bacterial large subunit ribosomal RNA
Source: RNAcentral